CAGCAGCCGCGGUAAUACGAAGGGUGCAAGCGUUACUCGGAAUUACUGGGCGUAAAGCGUGCGUAGGUGGUGGUUUAAGUCCGUUGUGAAAGCCCUGGGCUCAACCUGGGAAUUGCAGUGGAUACUGGAUCACUAGAGUGUGGUAGAGGAUAGUGGAAUCUCCGGUGUAGCAGUGAAAUGCGUAGAGAUCGGAAGGAACAUCUGUGGCGAAGGCGACUAUCUGGGCCAACACUGACACUGAGGCACGAAAGCGUGGGGAGCAAACAGGAUUAGAUACCCCAGUAGUCCCUGUCUCUUAUAC
Molecule: ribosomal RNA, 301 nt
Filed under: uncultured bacterium
Lineage: Bacteria
Description: partial 16S ribosomal RNA
Rfam family: Bacterial small subunit ribosomal RNA
Source: RNAcentral